Molecule: ribosomal RNA, 497 nt
Filed under: uncultured bacterium
Lineage: Bacteria
Description: partial 16S ribosomal RNA
Rfam family: Bacterial small subunit ribosomal RNA
Source: RNAcentral
GAUGAACGCUGGCGGCGUGCCUAAUACAUGCAAGUCGAGCGAACGGACGAGAAGCUUGCUUCUCUGAUGUUAGCGGCGGACGGGUGAGUAACACGUGGAUAACCUACCUAUAAGACUGGGAUAACUUCGGGAAACCGGAGCUAAUACCGGAUCAUAUUUUGAACCGCAUGGUUCAAAAGUGAAAGGCGGUUUUGCUGUCACUUAUAGCUGGAUCCGCGCUGCAUUAGCUAGUUGGUAAGGUAACGGCUUACCAAGGCGACGAUGCAUAGCGGACCUGAGAGGAUGAUAAGCAACACUGGAACUGAGACACGGUCCAGACUCCUACGGGAGGCAGCAGUGGGGAAUAUUGGACAAUGGGCGAAAGCCUGAUCCAGCCAUGCCGCGUGGGUGAAGAAGGUCUUCGGGUUGUAAAGCCCUUUUAUUGGGAAAGAAAAGCAGUAAGUUAAUACCCCGCUGUUAUGACGGUACCAAAAGAAUAAGCACGGGCUAACUUCGUG